Molecule: non-coding RNA, 116 nt
Organism: Ceratotherium simum simum (southern white rhinoceros)
Lineage: Eukaryota; Metazoa; Chordata; Mammalia; Perissodactyla; Rhinocerotidae
Source: RefSeq, a predicted model, not a curated record
AGAAGAUAGAUGAUAAAGGGCCUUGAGAGGAGGGCUCUGCCCUAUGAUGCUGCCCUGUUCUCCUUGUGGAGCUGAGGAGGGUGGUGAAGUCUGAGGGGAGGGAAGGGACUAUGGGG